ACGCUCGACACCUACGGGAGGAGCAGUAGGGAAUCUUCCACAAUGGGCGCAAGCCUGAUGGAGCAACACCGCGUGAGUGAAGAAGGGUUUCGGCUCGUAAAGCUCUGUUGUUGGAGAAGAACGUGCGUGAGAGUAACUGUUCACGCAGUGACGGUAUCCAACCAGAAAGUCACGGCUAACUACGUGCCAGCGCGCGAGUAUGNGNGGCGNGNGACGAGC
Molecule: ribosomal RNA, 219 nt
Filed under: uncultured bacterium
Lineage: Bacteria
Description: partial 16S ribosomal RNA
Rfam family: Bacterial small subunit ribosomal RNA
Source: RNAcentral